AUUUUCUUUAUUACCCAAAGAAACAUUAUUCAUAAAUUAAAACUUUUAUUACCCAAAGAAACAUGAUUCGUAAUUCAAACAUUUUAUUAUAUACCGCAAAUAGUAUUUGUACCAAUCAAACUUUAUUUUUGUACCGAUUAUUGUGUACUAACCGAACUUGUCCUGCAAACACGUUUCUCCCACACGUACCGCAGUUGAACCGUACCACAUUACAAAACCAUUUUUCCUACACAAGAAAAUACGCUGUUAGCAUUUGGACCCAUAAUUAUCAAACCAUUUCUAAACUGCUGGUUCCGCUCGUCUCAUUCACAGCCAUAGUUUGAAUGAAAGAGAUCGUGGGAUUGUGGAUUAGAUGAACAUAUCUAUUGUAAUUUUCUUUUUUCAUUUUUUCAUUUUUGGCUAUGAAUGGGAAACCUAAACGAACUAUGUGGUACGGUUCAAUAAUUUUUUUAGUUACCAUUUAAUAGCAUACUUUUUACAAUAUAACUGUUGUAGAAUAAAAUAAUUAUAAUUAAAAACAGAAGUGGAUCAUGUUUGCACAGAAAUUCAGUGUGUGGUUAGUAUACGUCACUUAGAGGUUCCGAAUGGUGACAGCGGAUUGAGCGGUGCAGAUCAAUUGGAUAUACAAAUUGUGGUGCGGUUUAACUGCAAUAUGUUAAGAAAAAACGCAGUAUGCAAAAAAUGUGUGGAUCAAGCGGAUCUAGUAGUGUAUAUAAUUUAUGAAUGGUGAAAAAAGAUGCGGUAAGAUACAAAUGUUUGAAUGGUGAAAAGUACAAAAAGCGGUUUGGUAUAUAUAUCUUGUAAAAUGUACCACUUUUUUGGAGUUCUCUUACAAUCCCUACCACACAAAGCUUCCUCUUACACAAUGUACAACAAUUCGAGUGCACGUGGAAUUUUGAGGAUGAAAAUACCCUUUGUGUGGGUCAGGUACUGUGUCUCAGAUGGUGACAGGUUGGUUCGGCGCAAAGAAGCAGAAACUGUUCAGUAAUAAAUGCUUUCCGUUUUCAAUUGGUUGAUAAAUGGAUAUUUAUUUUUAAAAUGGUAAUAUAGUAGGGUUAGACACUUUAGUUACUCUAUUAAUGUACUAGAAGAAAGAGGUUUUAUAGAACUGAAUACAACUGGAAAUCUGGGGAAUUUAGGAGUUGUUGUUGAAGAAAGGGACAUUUACUCCGGACGAGGUAAAAUUGAUAGUGUGGAAUUGUGGUGAUUCGCUUUAGUUUGGUAGUUACAUUUGUUUGCUUGUUUGUGAUAAAUGCAACUACCUCAUAUUCCAAAAUGGUAACUUUUCAAUUUGGUAAAGCCUCUUGCGAAGUCUAUCCCGAUUAAAUUCAGGGAUACUGGGACUUGCUGGCGGAUCAAAGAGCGUUUCAGCGGAUGAUUUGGCGGAGACAAAUGGGUCGUCGUCGUCUUCGAAGGCCAUAGCCCGCCUGGCACCGCCAAGCGGUGACUUCUAUUUGGAUUUGUUGGUGGAGGACCUCAUCUGUGGUGAGAUAAACAGAAACAAUUACUAAAUUAUUUUGGAGUAAUCGUACUUGUUGCGCUAGAUGCGUUUCUCUAAACUGCACCAAUUAAAACCACACCGCACUUUUAUAACCGCUUGUCCCACAUUACCCAAACCGCACUUCUAUAACCGCUUGUCCCGCAUUACUCAAACCGCAUUUCUAUAACCGCUUGUUUCGCAUUAAUGUUAGUAGUUAUUAAAAAUAACUUAUCUAGUGUUUCUAUUUUUGGUGAGUUUUCAAUAUUUAAGAAUCAUAAGACUAAAAUAAUAAUUGAAUUAGGCCUUGAAUGGAAACAUUAUAAGUGCGGAAAUCAAUUGUGUUUUUGGAAAAACGCGUUAAGUCUCCAAUCACAUGUUUCUAAUGUAAUUUGUAUUU
This 1877-nucleotide small RNA is filed under the name Arabidopsis thaliana (thale cress). Its description in RNAcentral is "ATSL084550". Lineage: Eukaryota; Viridiplantae; Streptophyta; Magnoliopsida; Brassicales; Brassicaceae. The record is from RNAcentral.